GUAUGAGGGUGAAACGGGUCGUCCCCAUACCCUGUUCGGUAUGGGCGCCAAAACACAUAAAGUCUCCAUACCUAGUCCGAUAUGAGAGACCACAUUCCAGGUAGGGUUCCCUAUGGACCCGGUCCGUCCACCAUCUCCUAGGAUAUCUAGUGAGGCUGUCGACAUUAUCCAUUUAUCAAUCCACAUACCUUUUUCUAUUUUUCUUGGUCUCAAUU
RNAcentral lists this long non-coding RNA (215 nucleotides) under Carica papaya (papaya). Its description in RNAcentral is "long non-coding RNA (CPAP_LNC000775)". Lineage: Eukaryota; Viridiplantae; Streptophyta; Magnoliopsida; Brassicales; Caricaceae. The record is from RNAcentral.